CGAUGCAUAGCCGACCUGAGAGGGUGAUCGGCCACACUGGAACUGAGACACGGUCCAGACUCCUACGGGAGGCAGCAGUAGGGAAUCUUCCGCAAUGGGCGAAAGCCUGACGGAGCAACGCCGCGUGAGUGAUGAAGGUCUUCGGAUCGUAAAACUCUGUUAUUAGGGAAGAACAUAUGUGUAAGUAACUGUGCACACCUUGACGGUACCUAAUCAGAAAGCCACGGCUAACUAUGUGCCAGCAGCCGCGGUAAUACGUAGGUGGCAAGCGUUAUCCGGAAUUAUUGGGCGUAAAGCGCGCGUAGGCGGUUUUUUAAGUCUGAUGUGAAAGCCCACGGCUCAACCGUGGAGGGUCAUUGGAAACUGGAAAACUUGAGUGCAGAAGAGGAAAGUGGAAUUCCAUGUGUAGCGGUGAAAUGCGCAGAGAUAUGGAGGAACACCAGUGGCGAAGGCGACUUUCUGGUCUGUAACUGACGCUGAUGUGCGAAAGCGUGGGGAUCAAACAGGAUUAGAUACCCUGGUAGUCCACGCCGUAAACGAUGAGUGCUAAGUGUUAGGGGGUUUCCGCCCCUUAGUGCUGCAGCUAACGCAUUAAGCACUCCGCCUGGGGAGU
RNAcentral lists this ribosomal RNA (613 nucleotides) under uncultured Clostridium sp. Its description in RNAcentral is "bacterial SSU rRNA". It matches the Rfam family "Bacterial small subunit ribosomal RNA", at positions 277 to 881 of the family's 1533-position model. The record is from RNAcentral. Lineage: Bacteria; Bacillati; Bacillota; Clostridia; Eubacteriales; Clostridiaceae.